GAGUUUGAUCUUGGCUCAGAUUGAACGCUGGCGGCAUGCCUUACACAUGCAAGUCGAACGGCAGCACGGGAGCUUGCUCCUGGUGGCGAGUGGCGAACGGGUGAGUAAUGCAUCGGAACGUAUCCUGGAGUGGGGGAUAACGUAGCGAAAGUUACGCUAAUACCGCAUAUUCUGUGAGCAGGAAAGCGGGGGACCUUCGGGCCUCGCGCUCUUGGAGCGGCCGAUGUCGGAUUAGCUAGUUGGUGAGGUAAAGGCUCACCAAGGCGACGAUCCGUAGCAGGUCUGAGAGGAUGAUCUGCCACACUGGAACUGAGACACGGUCCAGACUCCUACGGGAGGCAGCAGUGGGAAUUUUGGACAAUGGGGGCAACCCUGAUCCAGCCAUGCCGCGUGAGUG
Molecule: ribosomal RNA, 397 nt
Filed under: bacterium enrichment culture clone ALO1_GLFRUDD03GLNE1
Lineage: Bacteria
Description: bacterial SSU rRNA
Rfam family: Bacterial small subunit ribosomal RNA
Source: RNAcentral